RNAcentral lists this ribosomal RNA (442 nucleotides) under uncultured bacterium. Its description in RNAcentral is "bacterial SSU rRNA". It matches the Rfam family "Bacterial small subunit ribosomal RNA", at positions 335 to 768 of the family's 1533-position model. The record is from RNAcentral.
ACUCCUACGGGAGGCAGCAGUGGGGAAUAUUGCACAAUGGGCGCAAGCCUGAUGCAGCCAUGCCGCGUGUAUGAAGAAGGCCUUCGGGUUGUAAAGUACUUUCAGCAGUGAGGAAGGCGGGUACGUUAAUAGCGUGCUUGUUUGACGUUAGCUGCAGAAGAAGCACCGGCUAACUCCGUGCCAGCAGCCGCGGUAAUACGGAGGGUGCGAGCGUUAAUCGGAAUUACUGGGCGUAAAGCGCAUGCAGGUGGUUUGUUAAGUCAGAUGUGAAAGCCCGGGGCUCAACCUCGGAAUUGCAUUUGAAACUGGCAGACUAGAGUACUGUAGAGGGGGGUAGAAUUUCAGGUGUAGCGGUGAAAUGCGUAGAGAUCUGAAGGAAUACCGGUGGCGAAGGCGGCCCCCCUGGACAGAUACUGACACUCAGAUGCGAAAGCGUGGGGAG